AUAUUAUUUUAUAUCAAUAUAAUCUCAAGCUAAUAUCCAUGCACAACAUAUAUAUUCUUGAUGUUCUAUUAUUCAAAAUUUUCUGAUUUUAUUUAAAAAGUCAAUGACCCGCGCCUAAUAAUUUAGGAGAUUUGUGUCAGUUAACAGAAUAAUUUUGGUUCAAAAUACAUAUAAUACAUGAUGGAUAGCAUCAUGAUGAUAUUAUAUGGAUGGUAUCUAAACUUCACCAAGAUGGUCUAUCAUC
RNAcentral lists this long non-coding RNA (244 nucleotides) under Elaeis guineensis (African oil palm). Its description in RNAcentral is "long non-coding RNA (EGUI_LNC068901)". The record is from RNAcentral. Lineage: Eukaryota; Viridiplantae; Streptophyta; Magnoliopsida; Arecales; Arecaceae.